Molecule: ribosomal RNA, 465 nt
Filed under: uncultured Klebsiella sp.
Lineage: Bacteria; Pseudomonadati; Pseudomonadota; Gammaproteobacteria; Enterobacterales; Enterobacteriaceae
Description: bacterial SSU rRNA
Rfam family: Bacterial small subunit ribosomal RNA
Source: RNAcentral
CCUACGGUGGGCUGCAGUGGGGAAUAUUGCACAACGGGCGCAAGCCUGAUGCAGCCAUGCCGCGUGUGUGAAGAAGGCCUUCGGGUUGUAAAGCACUUUCAGCGGGGAGGAAGGCGGUGAGGUUAAUAACCUCAUCGAUUGACGUUACCCGCAGAAGAAGCACCGGCUAACUCCGUGCCAGCAGCCGCGGUAAUACGGAGGGUGCAAGCGUUAAUCGGAAUUACUGGGCGUAAAGCGCACGCAGGCGGUCUGUCAAGUCGGAUGUGAAAUCCCCGGGCUCAACCUGGGAACUGCAUUCGAAACUGGCAGGCUAGAGUCUUGUAGAGGGGGGUAGAAUUCCAGGUGUAGCGGUGAAAUGCGUAGAGAUCUGGAGGAAUACCGGUGGCGAAGGCGGCCCCCUGGACAAAGACUGACGCUCAGGUGCGAAAGCGUGGGGAGCAAACAGGAUUAGAUACCCUUGUAGUC